AUGCCUCCAUUUCCUCCCAGUUCAGCAUGUGGUGCACAAGAAGAACCCCAGCAGCAGCAACCGGUGAUCAUACCCAGCAGCACUACCCUGCGCUGGAACCCCUCUCCUACAGACACUAGAUGUCGGGUUAAUGAGGACGCUGAGUGCAGGUUUCAGCAGCUGUCAGGUUCAGUACACAAGGUGGGGAUGGUAUUGGACUCGGUACAAACUGAUGUUAUUCAGUUAAACAGAACCAUGAAGGACGCAUCGGUUGAAUCUGGUGGUGUGCAGCAAAAGUUUGAUCUCCUAGAGGAUACACUUCAGAAAAUUAUUAAAGGACAAAAUGAUCUCAAAGUACUUGCUGAAAACAGCAUGAAAAGCAACUCUGAUCAGCUGAAUGUUCUCAACUCUCGCACCAGCAAAUUGAAUGAGAUGUCUUUGGUCGUUUCAGUCUGUCCAAAACAAGUGCAAGCAGAUUUAAGAGAGCUGCAUGGUGACAUCUUCAGGGUUCUUACAAAGGACAUGGAGGGGGUUGUUAGAGAUAUCAGGUCUCUGAAUACUAGGCCUGCUGCAAUGUCAAUGCUGCCAGACCAGAACUUCUCCCCCAAUGAGAGACUACCGAGAAACCCAAUGCUAGCAAAAGGAAGUCCCUUGAUGAAUGGAGUGUCUGUAGCAAAUAGAAGACCUACAAUGAACCAGACACCAGCAGCAAAUGAACGACCCCUGAUGAACCAAUCACCAGUCGCAAAUGGAAGGUCUACAAUGAACCAGACACCAGUAGCAAAUGGACGAUCCCUGAUGAACCAAACACCAGUGAAAAAUGGAAGCCCCAUGACGAUUCCAGUAGGAGAUGGAAGGUCCCAGCUGAAACAAACACCGGUAACAGAUGGAACGCCCCAGAGGGAUCUAACACCAGAGAUAAAUGGAAGGCCCCAGAAGGACCGAAUACCAGUAGCAAAUGGAAGGCCCCAUAUGGAACAAAUACCGGCAACAAAACCCCUUCCUGCACGUUCCACUUAUGCUACGAGGGCGUCAGUUCUGAAGCCAAAGGUAGAAGAGGGUAUGGUAAAAGCAGCUCACAUGGUUGGUACAAGCUACAGGCUAGCACCUGCACAGAAAGAGAAGUUGAAUCAAAAGGUCAAUCCCCAAGAGACAACUAAGAAGGAACCAGUUAAAAUAAUCAUCGAUGAUUCUGAACAUGGAACCAGCGGGGCGAAAGCCUUUCUCGGCAAAGAGAGGGAGACCCUGAUGAACGGAACGUCUGUAGCAAACGGAAGACCUACAGUGAACCAGACACCAGUAGCAAAUGGACUACCCCUGAUGAACCAAACACCAGCGGAAAAUGGAAGCCCCAUGAUCGCCAACCAGGCUCCAGUAGGAGAUGGAAGGUCCCAGCUGAAACAGACACCGGCAACAGAUGGAACGACCCAGAGGGAUCUAACACCAGAGAUAAGUGGAACUCCCCAGAAGGACCAAAUACCAGUAGCAAAUGGAAGGCCCCAUAUGGAACAAAUACCGGCAACAAAACCGCUGUCAGUUCUGAAGCCAAAGGUAGAACAGGGUAAGGUAAAAGCAGCUCACAUGGUUGGUACAAGCUACAGGCUAGCACCUUCACAGAAAGAGGAGUUGAAUCAAAAGGUCAAUCCCCAGGAGCCAACUAAGAAGGAACCAGUUAACAUAAUCAUCGGUUCAGAUAAUGACAAUAAAGGGUGCACUUCCGGGGGGAUUCUGAACAUGGAAGCAGCUGACCUGAGGAAGGAAGUCGGCAGCGAGUCGGGCCCGCAGCUUGUGUGGGGGGCGAGGAAGAUGAGGACGAGCAGCGAGACGCUGCCCAUUGAUGCCGCCACCUUGCUGCCAGGAGAAGGGGAGAAGAGGAGGCGGGGACCUGGACGAGACACACAGAAGGGCGAGGCUGUUCAUGCGGUUGAAGCCACUCCAGCAAAGCGGGCUCAUCGGUUCAACCCCAAGUACGACGCGACCCUGUGGAUCACCUGCUGA
Molecule: ribosomal RNA, 1977 nt
Filed under: Triticum aestivum (bread wheat)
Lineage: Eukaryota; Viridiplantae; Streptophyta; Magnoliopsida; Poales; Poaceae
Description: partial small subunit ribosomal RNA
Source: RNAcentral